UAACGGGGGGGAAAAGAAACCACCAGGGACUUGCCCUAGUAACGGCGAGUGAAGCGGCAACAGCUCAAAUUUGAAAUCUGGUCCUUUCAGGGCCCGAGUUGUAAUUUGCAGAGGAUGCUUCGGGUACGGGUGCCUACUGAGUUCCCUGGAACGGGACGCCAUAGAGGGUGAGAGCCCCGUCUAGUAGGAUACCCAGCCCAUGUGAAGCUCCCUCGACGAGUCGAGUAGUUUGGGAAUGCUGCUCUAACGGGAGGUAUACUCCUUCCAAGGCUAAAUACCGGCUGGAGACCGAUAGCGCACAAGUAGAGUGAUCGAAAGAUGAAAAGCACUUUGAAAAGAGAGUCAAAUAGCACGUGAAAUUGUUGAAAGGGAAGCGCUCGCUACCAGACUUGAGUUAGGCGGUUCAACCGGGGCCACGCCCCGGGGCACUCCACCUGCUCAGGCCAGCAUCAGCUUUCCGUCGGGGGCAAAGGCGUCGGGAAUGUGGCUCUCCUUCGGGAGAGUGUUAUAGCCCGGCGUGUCAUACCCUUCGGGGGGCUGAGGUACGCGCUUCUGCAAGGAUGCUGGCGUAAUGGUAGCUAGUGACCCGUCUUGAAACACGGGAC
This 605-nucleotide ribosomal RNA is filed under the name Musidium stromaticum. Its description in RNAcentral is "partial 26S ribosomal RNA". It matches the Rfam family "Eukaryotic large subunit ribosomal RNA", at positions 46 to 664 of the family's 3401-position model. The record is from RNAcentral. Lineage: Eukaryota; Fungi; Ascomycota; Sordariomycetes; Glomerellales; Plectosphaerellaceae.